Molecule: ribosomal RNA, 126 nt
Filed under: uncultured bacterium
Lineage: Bacteria
Description: partial 16S ribosomal RNA
Rfam family: Bacterial small subunit ribosomal RNA
Source: RNAcentral
AAUAUUGCACAAUGGGCGAAAGCCUGAUGCAGCAGCGCCGCGUGAGGGAUGACGGCCUUCGGGUUGUAAACCUCUUUCAGCAGGGACGAAGCGAGAGUGACGGUACCUGCAGAAGAAGCACCGGCC